This 253-nucleotide ribosomal RNA is filed under the name uncultured bacterium. RNAcentral describes it as "partial 16S ribosomal RNA". It matches the Rfam family "Bacterial small subunit ribosomal RNA", at positions 524 to 776 of the family's 1533-position model. The record is from RNAcentral.
GACGUAGGGCGCGAGCGUUGUCCGGAUUUAUUGGGCGUAAAGAGCUCGUAGGCGGCUUGUCGCGUCGUUCGUGAAAACCUGCAGCUCAACUGCGGGCUUGCGGACGAUACGGGCAGGCUGGAGUUCGGUAGGGGAGACUGGAAUUCCUGGUGUAGCGGUGAAAUGCGCAGAUAUCAGGAGGAACACCGGUGGCGAAGGCGGGUCUCUGGGCCGAUACUGACGCUGAGGAGCGAAAGCGUGGGGAGCGAACAGG